This 555-nucleotide long non-coding RNA is filed under the name Phoenix dactylifera (date palm). RNAcentral's name for it is "long non-coding RNA (PDAC_LNC021845)". Lineage: Eukaryota; Viridiplantae; Streptophyta; Magnoliopsida; Arecales; Arecaceae. The record is from RNAcentral.
UUCUAUCGUGCCCCACGACGACAAACCCCCCUGAGAGACCUCCCAGCCAGGUAUAUAUGCGGCUGGGGGGAGAAGGGGGGGUAAGCAAUACCUCCCAGAGCACUCUCUCCCACUUGUGAUUAUCAUCUCUCCUCCUCCAAUCUCCUCUGACUUGACCGUCGGAGGGCCAUCACCACCCUGGUGGUGGUGCAAGGCUUGUUUGCAGGUUCCUUGGCGGAAGGUGGAGCGCAACCAGCACCAACCAAGACAACUCAGGCGGAACCCCGUUCACACCGUCGUGUCAAUCGUUCUCGGUUUGGACCACCAGCAACAAUUAUUGUUGGCGCUAGAGGAAGGGCCGAAUCUCAGAACGAUCGUAAUGGCACGGCGAGGUGGUCGCGGAGCUUCCAAUGCUUCCGGUCGCGGAGCCUCUCGCGCCUCUGGCCGGGAGGCUGCUGCGUCCCCAACACACUCUCAGCAGCAUUCCACCGCUUCUCCUCCCAUUCAGACGGUCGAACCUGCUCAGUUCGACCAGCUAGCCCAGCAGGUUCGCACCCUCGCGGAGGCAGUGCAGAA